CCCUUAGAUGUUCUGGGCCGCACGCUCGCUACACUGAUGCAUUCAACGAGUUUCUUCCUGGUCCGAGAGGAAUGGGUAACCUUUUGAAAGUGCAUCGUGAUAGGGAUAGACUAUUGCAAUUAUUGGUCUUCAACGAGGAAUUCCUAGUAGACGUAGUUCAUCAGACUGCAUCGAUUACGUCCCUGCCCUUUGUACACACCGCCCGUCGCUCCUACCGAUUGAGUGGUCCGGUGAGGCUUUGGGAUCUGAGCGGAAAGAGCGUUUCGCUGUUUCUGCUCGGAAAACUCAGUCGAACCUUAUCAUUUAGAGGAAGGAGAAGUCGUAACA
RNAcentral lists this ribosomal RNA (327 nucleotides) under uncultured eukaryote. Its description in RNAcentral is "partial 18S ribosomal RNA". It matches the Rfam family "Eukaryotic small subunit ribosomal RNA", at positions 1470 to 1796 of the family's 1831-position model. The record is from RNAcentral.